Long non-coding RNA from Bufo bufo (common toad), 621 nucleotides. RefSeq lists it as uncharacterized. Lineage: Eukaryota; Metazoa; Chordata; Amphibia; Anura; Bufonidae. The record is from RefSeq and is a predicted model, not a curated record. The transcript is spliced from 2 exons.
AGAAGGUGUGUCCAAACUUUUGGUCUGUACUGUAUAUAUAGAUGUGUGCACUUGGGAUGGAGUCCAAAACUUCCAAAGAACAUCCCAUAUUCCUUUCUGGAAGAAUAUCCAAAAUCUGAAUGUCAACCUUUGAACAACAUGUCCUUUUAGAAAUAAUAUUCUGUGCCUGCAGCCACCACUAGAGGGAGCUCAGGAGCAUACUGCAGACAAGUCACAUAGGAUAAAACCUUAUGCAGCACGCUUCUCUGCUCUGCAAUUUGGCGUUUAACCUGGUAUCCGUCUGUCUUCUAUCUCAUACUCCAGGAAGCUCAGAUAUGAGGAGCUGUAGGGUGAGCUCCUCACACUGUAGAGACCUCCUUUCCCCCAACAGGCUCCACAGAAUUUUUACCUGAUAUAACACAAGGCAAAUGGUCAUGGAGUCCUAAGGAGUUAUCCAGCAAAAAGCAUUUAUCACCUUAUCCACACGAUAUAUGAUAAAUUUAUCAUCUGUGACAACCGCCGCAGGCACCAAGAAUGGAUUCUAGCGUGGUUGUCACCCAGUAGCUGGCAUCCAUUAAAAGCAAACAGUCACUUUUUUUUACGGUGCCACUAAACCAGAGUGCUGUUAUAGUAAUUGGAAAU